This 82-nucleotide transfer RNA is filed under the name Deltaproteobacteria bacterium. RNAcentral describes it as "tRNA-Leu". It matches the Rfam family "tRNA". Rfam says of the family: Transfer RNA (tRNA) molecules are approximately 80 nucleotides in length. The record is from RNAcentral. Lineage: Bacteria; Pseudomonadati; Myxococcota; Myxococcia.
GUCGCGGUGGUGGAAUUGGUAGACACGCAGGUUUGAGGGACCUGUGGAGCAAUCUGUGGGGGUUCGAGUCCCCCCCGCGACA